AUACGGAGGGGGUUAGCGUUGUUCGGAAUUACUGGGCGUAAAGCGUACGUAGGCGGACUGGAAAGUUGGGGGUGAAAUCCCGGGGCUCAACCCCGGAACUGCCUCCAAAACUUCCAAUCUAGAGAUCGAGAGAGGUGAGUGGAAUUCCAAGUGUAGAGGUGAAAUUCGUAGAUAUUUGGAGGAACACCAGUGGCGAAGGCGGCUCACUGGCUCGAUACUGACGCUGAGGUACGAAAGCGUGGGGAGCAAACAGGAUUAGAAAACCUAGUAGUCC
Molecule: ribosomal RNA, 274 nt
Filed under: uncultured bacterium
Lineage: Bacteria
Description: partial 16S ribosomal RNA
Rfam family: Bacterial small subunit ribosomal RNA
Source: RNAcentral